UUAAUCGUUUUGGAGAAUGAUGUGUGUGGCAAAGUUACAAGCAUUUUUAUUGUAGGGGCAAUUGCUUAUAUAUUCCUAAAAAGUUUUCGACUUUUCAAUUUACUCCUCUUAGAAGGCUAAUAUUGGAAAUACUCUUUUUACACUCCAACCUAUUUCUAAUAUAACCCUAGAGUUAAAAUCUGUUAAUGAACUCUGUUAUCUCUAUAAAAUUACUAUUUUGUCCUUUCAAAUAUGCCCUUUCACCAUCACCGACUUUCUUAUUUGCCCUUAAAGUCAGGAGCACAAAAAAUAUUUUGACUUUUGAUCUUUUUCAAUAUACUCUUCUACCGUCAUCAACAUUUCUUAUUUGCCCUUAAAUUAAGGGUAAAAUUGGUAUUUUAAUUUUUUUUAGCUGUGGUAGAUGUUUAACUCAUAUUUAACUCAAGUUAAUUUAACAAGAGAUAACUGUGGGGGUAUUUUGCAAUAACGGUGGAACAUAUGAAGGAUAUUUUAGAAAGAAAAAAAAAAAAGAAUAAAUCGGAUAUUUUCAAACGUAUGAGAGGUAUAUAGGUAAUUAUCCCUUU
Molecule: long non-coding RNA, 563 nt
Filed under: Ananas comosus (pineapple)
Lineage: Eukaryota; Viridiplantae; Streptophyta; Magnoliopsida; Poales; Bromeliaceae
Description: long non-coding RNA (ACOM_LNC007563)
Source: RNAcentral